UACGUAGGUGGCAAGCGUUGUCCGGAUUUACUGGGCGUAAAGAGCGCGCAGGCGGCUGGUCAAGUCCGAUGUGAAAUCUCCCGGCUUAACUGGGAAACUGCAUCGGAAACUGAUCGGCUUGAAGGUGGGAGAGGGUAGUGGAAUUCCCGGUGUAGUGGUGAAAUGCGCAGAUAUCGGGAGGAACACCAGUAGCGAAGGCGGCUCGCUGGGCCGUUCCUGACGCUGAGACGCGAAAGCUAGGGGAGCGAACAGG
RNAcentral lists this ribosomal RNA (253 nucleotides) under uncultured bacterium. RNAcentral describes it as "partial 16S ribosomal RNA". It matches the Rfam family "Bacterial small subunit ribosomal RNA", at positions 524 to 776 of the family's 1533-position model. The record is from RNAcentral.